GGACCCUGUGUCGAAGAUAAGGGGUAAGAAAUGAGAGAAUACACGCCAGACCUGGCUCACAGGGCCACCUCGUGCUACUGAAGAGACUUGAGGCAUCACCUAAUCUCCUGGCCCCCAUCUGGUAAUCCCACACUUCCAGAAUCCCAGACAACCAUGAAAUGACGCUCACACUGCCUUGAUACCCAGUUAGCUCCUAUGGAAUGGUUGUAGUUAAAUCAAAAUAGUUUUAAAAGUUCCUGCACAUCCCACCAUGAGUGUCCCCUGGGUCUGAGGAUCACAGAAGAGUCAUAAAAUCCUCAUCUUUCAGUAUAGCUGGGACAGAUCGAAGAUAUGAGGAAUGUUAUUUUAUUUUUUCAGUGUAUGAAAUUUAUUGUCAAAUUGGUUUCCAUACAACACCCAGUGCUCAUCCCAAGAUAUGAGGAAUUUUAAACAAAACCAUCUCUCUCCCUCCCUCCCCGCCCCCAUUUUCUCUCUCCCUCCCCUACCCUCUCUCCCUCUCUCUCUCUCUCUCUCUCUCUCUCUCACACACACACACACACACACACACACACACACUUCAUGCCACCAUUAAGACUCCAUUCUUUUAGGGUCUUCAAGGAAUUCUGGUCUCCUAGGAGUGCGUUAUAAAAUGCAAAUCACCCAGGAGGGGGUCACACCCACCGCCACCAACAGUUUACAAUUGAGUUAACAAUUAACUCCCUAGAAGGGGUUUAUAGCUUGUAGAUCUCAGAGAUCGUACCAGCUCUCACCCCUGCAAACAGGGGUCCCCAAACAAAUGAAGAAAGUCAGGCCUAGAACACGGAGGCGCCUUCCCCCAGAACACACAGCCACGGGCGGGAGCAUCCAGUGGAGAAGCCCUAAGUCUCUCUCCGGGUCUCCAAGGCCUCCUGUUCCUUUGGGGAUAAUCACACGCUCUCCAAAGGAGAGCAGGUGUAGUUCCCUUCCAGAAGGGUUUCUUUCCCCUCCAGGCUGCAGACGCCCAGCACCAUGUCUCUGAAGCGCAGGGAGUUGUUCUAGAAGCACACAGCUGGUUCCGCAGAGCUCACACCAGGGCCUCCACCCUGGCUGCUGCCUCCUGGCCCAGCCCUCAGCUCAGUCUCCUUCCCCCGGGGCCAUCCACCGGGCUCCCCAGUGGGGCUCCAGCAGAGGCUGCCUGUCAGCCCUCCCUCCAUCUGUGCUUUACAUGUGCACCUGACCCAGCUCGGGUUCAGGGCUCCUUUUCUGUCCAAAAAGGGGAAUAUCCAAUGGCUAUUGUGAUGAAACGCAGGCAUCUCCCUGUUAGCACCUAGGACACCCCCGACUGGGUGGCAAAAAUGGAAGGAAAGAUAAGACGUCUAGAAAACAAGGCAGGGAAGUGCUGAGUGUUCUUGGGGGAGACCCUGAAGCAGGCUGUCUGCGUGCCCUGGAAAGUAGACAGAAGAAACAGUAACCCGCGCAGAAUUUCACGAAGCCGGUAAGGAUUCUGGAUGGUCUUAGGUGACGUCGAUGAAUGUCACAAACCCUGAAACUCCAAAUGUGCUUCCAGGAAGAUGGGGCGUCAGGGGUGAAUACACGUGAGCCUUACCAAGUUCCUCUCAGGAAUUCACCUUCGCUCUCACCGCUAAGAGCUCCUCUUGGUUGGACACUAAAGAUCCGCCCACAUCAGAACUUUCCCAAAUGGUUGCUAUUUACAACAGAACGAGUUGGGGUUGUUCUAUUUUUUUUUUUUCCCAGCCACCACUGUAUGUGUCCGGUGUGGCUCACUCUGACCUGAAGUCGUGGGGAUACAGAUGCGUAAGGUGACCCUUCCCCCCCCACCCAUCCCCCACCCCCAGUCACCCCUGCGAGCCUUCAAAGGGUUAAAGCCGGAGAAGAAGCUUUUAAGAACAGCUGGAAACAAAGUGCUGCCCCCAGGCUGACAGCAACCAAUAAAAGAGGAAGGGAUCCUUCCACAACAAUGCCAAAAGGGUCUUCUGCCUUCUGCCAUGACAAGCCUGGUGAGUUGUCUGCACACAUCCAUCUGUCAGAGCUGCAUCUGUCUGAACUACCCCCUGAGGAAGCUAAGGAACCGAGCCCACCUUUCUUGUCCCCCUUCCAUGAACGAGGAUAUGUUGGCAACAAGUUGUCAGAGCUGACGAUGAAUCCAAACCUCCGUUUUGAAGGCAAGUGCUGUAUUUCUGUGACAUGGCCCUAUAUGUAUUCCACACCCUUAGGCCGAGCCCUAACAAUUCCCACAUAAUUUGUAUAGAUAUCUUUGCCCCUCUAUUCUAAAAUGCACUAACAUUUGAAAGCCCAUUGGUUAGAGAUGAUGCUAAGAAAAGAAAAUGCAGAAGAUAGGUCCCUCACGUGGGCCAGCUCAGUGAUCCCACCAAUGGGUUCAUGCCCAUUAUCAUUAUUUGAUAAUAAUGACUCAUCUCUGCCCUUCUUUCUUCUCUCCGUCUUCUUGUCUCUCGCUCAUGUGUCCAUGACAGACAACUGGUUUACCAAAUAUAAGUUUACCAUUCCACUAUAGAGUUCAGUUCAGUCACCAGUGAAUUUUUCAAAUAAGUCCCACAUCCCAGACAGUGUUGUUCGAGAAGGCAUGUAGAAUCUACAUGGUGGCAUCUUCCCAAAAUUCAUAUAUUGAAGCCCUAAUUCUCAAUGGGAUGAUAUUUGGAGGUAAGACCUUUGGGAAGUAAUUCGGUUUAGAUUAGGUCAUGAAGGCGGAGCCCCCGUAACGGGAUUAGUCUCCUUAUAAAAGGAAGAGACAACAGAGCUCUCUCUCUCUCUCUCCACCACGUGGGGACAUAACAAGAAGGCCAUCUGCCAGCCAAGAAGCGAGCCCUCACCACGAACCUGACCAUGUUAAUACACUGAUCUCAGGCUUCUAGCCUCCAGAACUAUGAGAAAAUAAAUGUCUGUUGUUCCAGCCAUCCAAUCUACAGUAUUUUGUUAUAGCAGCUAGACUCGACUGAGACAGACUAGUGAACAUAAAUCCGAUGCUAUUCCUAGACAACUAACCAAAAUCCAGAUUAACUUCAAGCUUGAAGACCGUGAAAACGGCCUCAACAUUUUAGGGCCACAUCUUUUACCAGCCUGGUCCAUUUUCAGCAAGGUCACAAUAACGGCUGACUCACUCAGAAGACUUUAGUUAACAGCUUUCAAAUUUCUUAUUGAGUAAAUUGAUAGGAAAAGAAAGACAGACAUUUCCUGUUGUCUGGUCUGUUGAUUAUACCCAAUAAUGAUCUGACUUCACUAGAUCUUACUGAUACAAAUACUCCUUUGUCACAUGUACCUUGGCAAGAGAGGGUAAGAGAGAAGAGUAAUGGCACCAUUGUCAUGGCUUCCCUCAAUGGAUUCUCCACUCCAGAGGCCUCUGAGACUCUGCACUGAAUACCAUUGUUCCAGAAUUCACCAAAAGCCAUUCUUUUCUACAGCACUCACACCUGCCUCAGGAGGGGAGUUCUACCAAUUUAGAAAAAAAAAAAGGACAAGUCAAGGGAUUAAAGAUGUAUU
Felis catus (domestic cat) is the source of this 3474-nucleotide long non-coding RNA. RefSeq lists it as uncharacterized. Lineage: Eukaryota; Metazoa; Chordata; Mammalia; Carnivora; Felidae. The record is from RefSeq and is a predicted model, not a curated record. The transcript is spliced from 3 exons.